Molecule: long non-coding RNA, 373 nt
Organism: Homarus americanus (American lobster)
Lineage: Eukaryota; Metazoa; Arthropoda; Malacostraca; Decapoda; Nephropidae
Exons: 3
Source: RefSeq, a predicted model, not a curated record
CACAUUCGCGGAACAAAAUUUGUGUAAAGGCUCCUCAAAGAGAUUAGUUAGCGUCGAGUGUAAAUGGAAUUUGAUGGUGGGUGAGUGUAGUGAGGUGGAUGUUGUGGUUGUGGUGGUGGUAGUGGCAGUGGCCGGGGAAAAGAGCGACGGUGUGAGGACUGUGGUAAAGGCAGCAGCGCGGGAGUUCAGUGUGGUGGUGGAGGUGGUAGUGUGGUGGUGUAUGGUCGUGUUGAUGCUGCCGCCGCCGCUGUGCCGUUGCUGUUAACCUCAGCCUCCCUGCGGUCAUCCCCAGCAGAUAAACGAUAAUAAGAAGUUGAAGACAAGAAGUCGCUGCUUGGUGCGUGACAGAGCCCUGGUGACUGCUGCCGCUGGU